GCCGGCAGUACCGAAACCCCCAAUCCCGCCGCGACCAGGCCGAUGAUGGUUAGCGCCUCGUUCGCUUCCUGAGCGAUGCGCGGGCUGAAUCCCGCCUGCCGCGCCA
RNAcentral lists this transfer RNA (106 nucleotides) under Stutzerimonas frequens. Its description in RNAcentral is "tRNA-Arg". The record is from RNAcentral. Lineage: Bacteria; Pseudomonadati; Pseudomonadota; Gammaproteobacteria; Pseudomonadales; Pseudomonadaceae.